UACGAAGGGGGCUAGCGUUGCUCGGAAUCACUGGGCGUAAAGGGCGCGUAGGCGGCUAGAUGUGUCAAAGGUGAAAUCCCUCGGCUCAACUGAGGAACUGCCUUUGAAACUGUCUGGCUUGAGGCCGGGAGAGGGUAGCGGAAUUCCCAGUGUAGCGGUGAAAUGCGUAGAUAUUGGGAGGAACACCAGUGGCGAAGGCGGCUACCUGGACCGGUUCUGACGCUGAGGCGCGAAAGCGUGGGUAGCAAACAGG
Molecule: ribosomal RNA, 253 nt
Filed under: uncultured bacterium
Lineage: Bacteria
Description: partial 16S ribosomal RNA
Rfam family: Bacterial small subunit ribosomal RNA
Source: RNAcentral